GACGAACGCUGGCGGCGUGCUUAACACAUGCAAGUCGAACGGAAAGGCCCUGCUUGCAGGGUACUCGAGUGGCGAACGGGUGAGUAACACGUGGGUGAUCUGCCCUGCACUUCGGGAUAAGCCUGGGAAACUGGGUCUAAUACCGGAUAGGAGCCAUUUUUAGUGUGAUGGUUGGAAAGUUUUUUCGGUGUAGGAUGAGCUCGCGGCCUAUCAGCUUGUUGGUGGGGUAAUGGCCUACCAAGGCGGCGACGGGUAGCCGGCCUGAGAGGGUGGACGGCCACAUUGGGACUGAGCUACGGCCCAGACUCCUACGGGAGGCAGCAGUGGGGAAUAUUGCACAAUGGGCGCAAGCCUGAUGCAGCGACGCCGCGUGGGGGAUGACGGCCUUCGGGUUGUAAACUCCUUUCGCUAGGGACGAAGCUUUUGUGACGGUACCUAGAUAAGAAGCACCGGCUAACUACGUG
This 464-nucleotide ribosomal RNA is filed under the name uncultured bacterium. RNAcentral's name for it is "partial 16S ribosomal RNA". It matches the Rfam family "Bacterial small subunit ribosomal RNA", at positions 28 to 507 of the family's 1533-position model. The record is from RNAcentral.